Ictalurus punctatus (channel catfish) is the source of this 335-nucleotide long non-coding RNA. The record is from Ensembl. Lineage: Eukaryota; Metazoa; Chordata; Actinopteri; Siluriformes; Ictaluridae.
UCCUGAUUAGAACUGUAACUGUUCACAAAUGACUUGUGUACACACCAUGAAGGUUACACACACGACAUCCGACACACACACACACACACACACACACACACACACACACACGCACAACAUCGUGUUGUCUGUGAAAUUGAGCUGUAAAUGAUUACAGCACGGUUUCCUCUCGUCUCCCGCAGCGCUCCGCUUUCUCAUGCACACGAAAUAAAGACUGAAGAAAUACAAUAAAGUUUCUGUUCACAAACAGUGAAGGAGUGAAGGGGGGUAAGAGUGAAGGGGUGAAGGAGUGAAGGGGUGAAAGAGUGAAGGAGUGAAGGGGUGAAGGAGUGAAG